GAUAUACUCCCUCCAUUCUGAAUUACUUGUCUUAGAUUUGUCUAGAUACGGAUGUAUCUAGCACUAAAGUAAGUCUAGAUACAUCUAUAUCUAGACAAAUCCAAGACAAGUAAUUCGGAACAGAGGGAGUACAUG
This is a non-coding RNA of Triticum aestivum (bread wheat), 135 nucleotides long. NCBI's taxonomy places the organism in Eukaryota, Viridiplantae, Streptophyta, Magnoliopsida, Poales, Poaceae. The record is from Rfam.